RNAcentral lists this unclassified non-coding RNA (5114 nucleotides) under Acanthaster planci (crown-of-thorns starfish). Its description in RNAcentral is "n-acetylglucosaminyl-phosphatidylinositol biosynthetic protein-like, transcript variant X6". The record is from RNAcentral. Lineage: Eukaryota; Metazoa; Echinodermata; Asteroidea; Valvatida; Acanthasteridae.
AGGGGCGAGUUGACCUGACACCGUGCAAAAUGGCCGCGCCCACGAUCCGCACGUUUCCCCCCUUCGACUUUAUCCGUUGUUAGUGAACACUUUUCCUUCUGAAUUCCUGUCGUUGCUCUUUUGGGUUUCGUCCGUUUGAAGCAAGAGAUAUGAAGCACAGGAUAUGCAUGGUGUCCGAUUUCUUCUUCCCCAACACGGGAGGAGUGGAGAAUCACAUCUUCCAACUUUCGCAGUGCCUUCUCCAGAGAGGCCACAAAGUUAUUGUGGUCACCCAUUCCUACGGCGACCGUGUUGGGGUACACUACAUGGCCAACAACCUAAAGGUAUACUAUCUACCCUUUGUGGUGUUCUACAAUGAGUGUGUGUUUCCAACGGUGUUUGGAACCAUGGCAUUAAUGCGUUACAUCUUCAUCAGGGAACAGAUCACCAUCAUCCAUGGCCAUUCGGCCUUUUCCACCAUGGCCCACGAAGCCUUAAUCCACGGCCGUGCCAUGAAUUUAAAGACAGUCUUCACUGAUCACUCCCUCUUCGGUUUUGCCGACAUCAGCUCCAUCCUCACUAACAAACUCUUGAGCUUCACACUCGCCGAUAUCAACCACGUUGUAUGCGUCUCCCACACAAGCAAGGAGAACACUGUUCUGAGGGCCUGUCUACCACCGGACAUCGUGUCCGUCAUACCAAAUGCAGUCGACUCCAGUGUCUUCAUGCCCGACCUCUCUCGAAGGAACCCGGACAGAAUAACCAUCGUGGUCGUCAGUCGCCUUGUGUACAGGAAAGGCAUGGACCUUCUUGCCGGUGUCAUCCCCGUAAUCUGCCAGCGACACGACGAUGUUGACUUCCUGAUAGGAGGGGACGGACCCAAGAGGAUAGAUAUCGAGGAAGUGAGAGAGAACUAUCAGCUGCAAGAUCGAGUCAGGAUGCUAGGCUCUUUACCACAUGGCAAUGUUAAAGAUGUCCUAAAUGAAGGAGAUAUAUUCCUGAAUACGUCACUGACCGAAGCCUUCUGCAUGGCCAUUGUUGAGGCUGCAUACUGUGGUUUGCAGGUCGUCAGUACCAAAGUAGGCGGAGUCCCAGAAGUGCUGCCGGAGGAGUUUAUCAUUCUUGCCGAGCCAAGUGUCAAAUCUUUAGUAGAAGCUUUGGAAGUUGCCGUUGCCAGACAGAGGGAGGGAAGCCACGUACCAGCACAGCAGGUCUAUGAGACAAUGAAAGGCGUCUACACCUGGCAGAACGUGGCCAAGAGAACGGAAAAAAUCUACAGCAGCAUCAUGGAGAUGCCUGUGUUGUCCCUAGCUGAGCGGCUGGAGAGAUACAACAAGCUGGGCCCCAUUGCGGGCAAAUUCUUCAUCAUUGUAGCUGUGGUAGAUCUUCUGUUGUACUGGUUCUUUGAGUGGUGGCAACCUAGAAGGAACAUCGCUAUUGUACCGGAUACCAACCAACCAGCUUACACAGAUGCAGAUAUGUACAAUAUUCAUGCACCUACAGGUCCCAAAGACCCAGCUGAACUUUGUCAGUCCGAAUCAACAGAGGGCAGCCUUUAUGUACAGAAACUGAGACCCCCAGUUAGCCGAAAGGGAGACAGGUAGUCCGCAGGGUUGGCCGUUUGGGUCAGCUUUGUCUCAGGCUGUUCAACGCUGUGCAAUAAUCGCCCUGAUGUUAACCAUGGCUUCCGAGUUUAACAUUGGCCUAAUUUAUCCUUUUCAAAGUUAUUUGAAAAACUAACAAAUGAAGCUUUAGCCGUUAUUGGUUCCAAACAAUUGUAAUCUUGGAAAGGGAAGUGUGUCCAAAUACAGAGCGGAAGACAAUGUGAGAAGGUUGUACCACUGUGUGUGAUUAUGCUGCAGCCAUAUUGGUCUGGUAUUUAAGUUCUGCAAUACCAAAGUACCGUUAUUUUAGUCAAUCAGUGUCACGAGACUUUUGACUUUUAGUGGCUAGAUCUUUAUUUUGCUAAUAAGUAAUUUUUUUUUUACUUUUUAGUAGAGUUGUAAACAUUUUGGUAAAAAAAUUUUGGAUACAACUGAAGCACUUUCAACGUCUGUCAACAGGAAAUACUUUUUUUGCAAAAUUAUCUGCGAUACUCUUUGCAUAAAAUGAUAACUAAGAUAUAAUGGUGCACUGACCUUUUAGAAAAAUUUCACAUCAGUUAUGGUUGUUGCCAUCACCCAACAGAGCUGGAAAUGGAGCAAAAGUACUUAAUUGUCCCUUAACAUUUGUUUAAGUCAUAAAUUCAUCCCUGGUUGCGUAAUUGUUUUUAGAUAAAGUUAAAACACUCCACAACUGCAUAAGCUCAUGCAUAUGUUUGUGUUCCAAACAGAACAUGUACUCAAUCAAUAAGUCAAUUCGAGCUUGUGCCAUUUUAGUCUUGCAUGCAGUUUACACAUGUCAUCAGGUGGCGCCAUCUGGGACAGGCUUGAGUUACGUGCUUGAGACCAAGCAUCUCUGAUGCCCAGUGAAGUAAGGCUGGAGAUCUUAAGUCAGACCAGCUACGAUGAGGCCUUCCUUGUGGGCGUUUCCCCCCGAUAGCUGAUGGUUCAAAGUGUAGAAGCGUAGCUGGUAUGGAAGAGGGCGAAAGCCAUUAGACCUGGCUGAAGUAACAAAGCCGACGCUGUCUGGCAAGAGACGAUGCUGGUGGUUGGUUGGUACAUAAGCAGAUGGGAUCGUGAUGAAUAAAAUCCGACCAUCGGAUAAUGCUCCAGGCGCUUCAGGGCAUUCGUAUCAAAUAUGCCCAGGCGUUUGGCUGCUGCAGAUGUUUAAUUGAGAGUGGACAUAAGGUCCUACUCAGCCUAAGACAUAUCUCGCGAUAUGUCAAACGUUGCAAGCUAUUGGUGCGGAAUGGAGGAGAUUUAUACCGUCUGUAGUAGUGUGCCAUUAUGAGAAAGACGACUGUAUAUGGAUAAGACCAUUCAGUCUUUGUCGAUCUCGGCAAGAAAUGAGACAAGAUGUUAUUAGGCAAGAGAGAACCUGAAUAAGCCCAUUCAGACGGACUGAAGUUUCUACGAAACAACUCAUCGCGGCUAGGAGGAUAUUUUUAGAAGGAAAAUGGAGGAGCUUAGGAGUUGUUUUGUUUGUUUGGUCGUUUUUGGUUUUUUCGAGAAGGAAAAUAACGGGACUAACUAUUAAGCCUAUGAGAAUACUUUCAGAAAGAAAAUUAAAUCAGAAUAAUAAACGUUGCAGCUAGGAUGAUUUUAGUAGAACGAAAACAAAUUGGUAGACUAUCAUCAAGGUUGGAGGAUAUUUUUUAGAAGAAAAAAUGGGAGACUGAUCAUCAAGGUUAGGGGGAUAUUUUCCAGAGGGAUAUUUUUUAGAAGGCAAAAAUUGGGAGAGUGAUCAUCAAGAUCAGGAGAAUAUUUUUAGAAGUAAAAAAGGAAAAAUUUGUAAUCGUGAGAUAUGUCCUAGGCUGAGUAGGACCUUAUGUCCACUCUCAAAUAAACAAGACGCCAUGUCUCGGCUCCGUGUAAAGAGUAUGAAGACCAUUACACAUCUUCAUUUUGGUCUGCCUAGAGAUGCUGUCAGGUUAUUCAUGGCAACAGCUGCCUUCACAAUCUGCGUGGAGGUGUCUGCCACUAGGUCUUCAUGAACAGUGGCGUUGCUAGGACUUUACCUGGGGGGGGUUACAAGGGGGCACCAGCAUCUUUAGGGGAGCACCAGCUUUCAGUGGUGUGGUUUUUUGGUGCAAGUUUUCGUUGGCCUUGUUCAAUUUUCAUUCAUCCGUUUUUUUUAGUGGGGGGGGGGGUUCCCGGGAGCCAUGUUCCCACUAUUCAUAAACAUUAAUUCCCACUGUUCAUGAACAUUAAGGGCGUGAGGGAGGAGAUUGGAUGGCGACUCAAACCUGACCUUAGUCUUUGGCCAGCUUAUUCUCAUUCUGACCUUUUUGGCCUCGCAAUCCAGGAUUUCUUGUACUCUGGUGAGAUCGUGUCUGGCUGGAGAGAGAAGAGCUGCGUGAUUGAGAAAAACAAAUCAAUUCAGUAAAGUUCUAAGUAUUUAUUUGUUUAUUACAAAAGACAGUUAAUACUGGAGUGUAAAAAUAAAAGAAAUACACCCUGAUAAAUAGGUGACAAGCAAGAAAUCAAUACAUGUACUCAGUUUGUCCAAAUUUGUCACCUUUCCCAAGUGCACAAAUCCUAUGCACAAAUCCCACAUUGGUGUUAUGGUGUUAGGUGGUCAUGUACGCUUUUAGAAAAUAUUUGAAAAGGUGGCUAGAAAUUAUGUUCUUUAAUACCCCACCAACAAAGCUGUUGGCAAUGUGUUGCUACCUUCAAAUGUUAAUAUUUUAAUAUUUUGGAUUCUCAGUGCAAAGAUCGGGGGAUCAAUCCCAACAAUUGCAUAGUUACAUGUAUAAUUUCACUGUUUGAGAAGGGAAAUUUACGUGUAUAGAGGCUUACUUUGAGGUCCUGAGUUUGAUUCAAAGUAGGUGUUCUGGGCAAAGGAAAUUCAUUACAUGUACAAGUGUGCAUGGCUGGCAUAAUUGGAUGCAUACAGACAUUGUCAUUCUUUGUGGGACCAAGACACAAAUAUUACGAAUAUGUCUGUCAAACAACAACAAAUCAUGAAACUUCUAAAUUCACUGCCUUGGCUUACUAUUAACUGGAUCUAUUUGAAAAACCAAAUACAAAUAGGAUGAUGAAAUAUGACCAGGCUCUUUCCUGUUUGGAGGGUUCAAAGUCAAAUAUUGAAAUGGAGGUCAAUUUUGGAAGUUUGUGAUAUUUUGAAAGAGUAACCUGUCUAUUUAAUUCCAGUUUUGUUAGCAGGAUCAGAUAUUUAAAAUUUUCUCAUCAAUUUCAAUGAUAGCAUUAUUCAUGCCCGGUCAGAAAUGUUGAAACAAUGUCAGAAAUAAAGAUGCAAUAUCUCAGUUUUUGAAAAGUCAGCUCUUUUUGUGGUGACCGGUCACAAACAGCUGUUUUGACAAUGCACAUGAUUUUGGCCAAAGAUUGUACAUGUAAUUUUGGUUCAUUGUUCAUUUCAAAUCAAACCAGAAGUUCCGAUUUUGAAAUUGCGACUGUUGGACUGUUGAAUAGGACAUUUGUGCGCAAACAGUAGGUGGAGAAAUAUCUUGUUGAAAGGAUUUUGAAAAAUACUGGAAUUUACAAUGAGACGUAUGACUUCAAUGUCUCCUCCCC